Molecule: unclassified non-coding RNA, 341 nt
Filed under: soil metagenome
Description: partial contains 5.8S ribosomal RNA, internal transcribed spacer 2, and large subunit ribosomal RNA
Rfam family: 5.8S ribosomal RNA (bases 1-120)
Source: RNAcentral
GAUGAAGAACGUAGCGAAAUGCGAUACGUAAUGUGAAUUGCAGAAUUCAGUGAAUCAUCGAAUCUUUGAACGCACAUUGCGCCCUUUGGUAUUCCAAAGGGCAUGCCUGUUCGAGCGUCAUUUGUACCCUCAAGCUUUGCUUGGUGUUGGGCGUCUUGUCUCUAGCUUUGCUGGAGACUCGCCUUAAAGUAAUUGGCAGCCGGCCUACUGGUUUCGGAGCGCAGCACAAGUCGCACUCUCUAUCAGCAAAGGUCUAGCAUCCAUUAAGCCUUUUUUUCAACUUUUGACCUCGGAUCAGGUAGGGAUACCCGCUGAACUUAAGCAUAUCAAUAAGCGGAGGA